GACGAACGCUGGCGGCGUGCUUAACACAUGCAAGUCGAACGGAAAGGCCCUGCUUUUGUUGGGUGCUCGAGUGGCGAACGGGUGAGUAACACGUGAGUAACCUGCCCUUGACUUUGGGAUAACUUCAGGAAACUGGGGCUAAUACCGGAUAGGAUCUCCUGCUGCAUGUUGGGGGUUGGAAAGUUUCGGCGGUUGGGGAUGGACUCGCGGCUUAUCAGCUAGUUGGUGGGGUAGUGGCUUACCAAGGCUUUGACGGGUAGCCGGCCUGGGAGGGUGACCGGCGACCUUGGGCCUGCGAUACGGAGCAGACGCCAACGGGAGGCAGCGGUGGGGAAUAUUGCGCAACGGGGGGAAGCCAGAUACGGCAACGCCGCGUGCGGGAUGCCGGGCUUCGGGUUGUAAACCGAUUUCGCCUGAGACGAAGAGUGAGUGACGGUAAUGGGUAAAGAAGCACCGGCUAACUACGUG
RNAcentral lists this ribosomal RNA (468 nucleotides) under uncultured bacterium. Its description in RNAcentral is "partial 16S ribosomal RNA". It matches the Rfam family "Bacterial small subunit ribosomal RNA", at positions 28 to 507 of the family's 1533-position model. The record is from RNAcentral.